UACGUAGGAUGCAAGCGUUGUACUGAUUUAUUGGGUUUAAAGGGUGCGUAGGCGGCCUAUUAAGUUAGUGGUGAAAACGUUCGGCUUAACCGGAUACCCGCCAUUGAUACUGAUAGACUUUAGUGCGACAGAGGGUGUUGGAAUGUGUGGUGUAGCGGUGAAAUGCUUAGAUAUCACGCAGAACACCAAUUGCGAAGGCAGAUGCCUAUGUCGUAACUGACGCUGAGGCACGAAAGCGUGGGGAGCAAACAGG
Molecule: ribosomal RNA, 253 nt
Filed under: uncultured bacterium
Lineage: Bacteria
Description: partial 16S ribosomal RNA
Rfam family: Bacterial small subunit ribosomal RNA
Source: RNAcentral